GUCCACGCCGUAAACGAUGUCAACUAGCCGUUGGGGAACUUGAUUCUUUAGUGGCGCAGCUAACGCACUAAGUUGACCGCCUGGGGAGUACGGCCGCAAGGUUAAAACUCAAAUGAAUUGACGGGGGCCCGCACAAGCGGUGGAGCAUGUGGUUUAAUUCGAUGCAACGCGAAAAACCUUACCACCCCUUGACAUCCUGCGAAGUUACCAGAGAUGGUUUCGUGCCUUCGGGAGCGCAGAGAC
RNAcentral lists this ribosomal RNA (243 nucleotides) under uncultured bacterium. RNAcentral's name for it is "partial 16S ribosomal RNA". It matches the Rfam family "Bacterial small subunit ribosomal RNA", at positions 793 to 1035 of the family's 1533-position model. The record is from RNAcentral.